RNAcentral lists this ribosomal RNA (468 nucleotides) under uncultured bacterium. RNAcentral's name for it is "partial 16S ribosomal RNA". It matches the Rfam family "Bacterial small subunit ribosomal RNA", at positions 28 to 507 of the family's 1533-position model. The record is from RNAcentral.
GACGAACGCUGGCGGCGUGCUUAACACAUGCAAGUCGAACGGAAAGGCCCUGCUUUUGUGGGGUGCUCGAGUGGCGAACGGGUGAGUAACACGUGAGUAACCUGCCCUUGACUUUGGGAUAACUUCAGGAAACUGGGGCUAAUACCGGAUAGGAGCUCCUGCUGCAUGGUGGGGGUUGGAAAGUUUCGGCGGUUGGGGAUGGACUCGCGGCUUAUCAGCUUGUUGGUGGGGUAGUGGCUUACCAAGGCUUUGACGGGUAGCCGGCCUGAGAGGGUGACCGGCCACAUUGGGACUGAGAUACGGACCAGACUCCUACGGGAGGCAGCAGUGGGGAAUAUUGCACAAUGGGCGGAAGCCUGAUGCAGCAACGCCGCGUGCGGGAUGACGGCCUUCGGGUUGCAAACCGCUUUCGCCUGUGACGAAGCGUGAGUGACGGUAAUGGGUAAAGAAGCACCGGCUAACUACGUG